This 1402-nucleotide ribosomal RNA is filed under the name uncultured bacterium. RNAcentral describes it as "16S ribosomal RNA". It matches the Rfam family "Bacterial small subunit ribosomal RNA". The record is from RNAcentral.
AGAGUUUGAUCCUGGCUCAGGAUGAACGCUAGCGGCAGGCUUAACACAUGCAAGUCGAGGGGCAGCGGGGAGGAAGCUUGCUUUCUCCGCCGGCGACCGGCGCACGGGUGAGUAACACGUAUGCAACCUGCCCCUGUCAGGGGGACAACCCGCCGAAAGGCGGGCUAAACCCGCGUACAUGCCACCGGGGCAUCCCGGAGGCAGGAAAGGCUUCGGCCGGACAGGGAUGGGCAUGCGGCGCAUUAGGCAGUAGGCGGGGUAACGGCCCACCUAACCGACGAUGCGUAGGGGUUCUGAGAGGAAGGUCCCCCACACUGGUACUGAGACACGGACCAGACUCCUACGGGAGGCAGCAGUGAGGAAUAUUGGUCAAUGGUCGGGAGACUGAACCAGCCAAGCCGCGUGAGGGAGGAAGGUACAGAGUAUCGUAAACCUCUUUUGUCAGGGAACAAAGGCGGGGACGUGUCCCCGGAUGAGUGUACCUGAAGAAAAAGCAUCGGCUAACUCCGUGCCAGCAGCCGCGGUAAUACGGAGGAUGCGAGCGUUAUCCGGAUUUAUUGGGUUUAAAGGGUGCGCAGGCGGUCUGUUAAGUCAGCGGUCAAAGCCCGGGGCUCAACCCCGGCCCGCCGUUGAAACUGGCAGUCUCGAGUUGGAGAGAAGUAUGCGGAAUGCGCGGUGUAGCGGUGAAAUGCAUAGAUAUCGCGCAGAACUCCGAUUGCGAAGGCAGCAUGCCGGCUCCACACUGACGCUGAGGCACGAAAGCGUGGGUAUCGAACAGGAUUAGAUACCCUGGUAGUCCACGCAGUAAACGAUGAAUGCUGGCUGUCCGGGGGGAUUGACCCCUGGGUGGCGAAGCGAAAGCGAUAAGCAUUCCACCUGGGGAGUACGCCGGCAACGGUGAAACUCAAAGGAAUUGACGGGGGCCCGCACAAGCGGAGGAACAUGUGGUUUAAUUCGAUGAUACGCGAGGAACCUUACCCGGGCUCAAACGGGGAGUGACUCAGGCAGAGACGCCUGUUUCCCACGGGACACUCCCCGAGGUGCUGCAUGGUUGUCGUCAGCUCGUGCCGUGAGGCGUCGGCUUAAGUGCCAUAACGAGCGCAACCCCCGCGUGCAGUUGCUAACAGAUAACGCUGAGGACUCUGCACGGACUGCCGGCGCAAGCCGCGAGGAAGGCGGGGAUGACGUCAAAUCAGCACGGCCCUUACGUCCGGGGCGACACACGUGUUACAAUGGGUGGUACAGCGGGAAGCCAGGCGGCGACGCCGAGCGGAACCCGAAAUCCACUCUCAGUUCGGAUCGGAGUCUGCAACCCGACUCCGUGAAGCUGGAUUCGCUAGUAAUCGCGCAUCAGCCAUGGCGCGGUGAAUACGUCCCCGGGCCUUGCACACACCGCCCGUCA